UGUCUAACCUUGUUAUCUUCUGUCUGCCCCAGUGUCAAGUAUAUAAGUAAAUAAUCAUUACAAUUAUUAGUACUACAGCUCAAAAUGAGAUUAACUCUGCACUUUAAAAAUUAGCUUUACCAAUAAGCUCAUUGCACAUUUUAUUAAUUUUUAAAAACUUGAAGAUUGAAAGGUUUUGGUUGUUGUGUGAGAUUUAUCAUCUCAGUUUCUCCAAGUGUGCUGCAAAAAUCGAAAGCAACUUUCCUACUCAGCCGUUUACAUUAGUCACCUAUUUAUUAAAAAACACUGUACUAAGCACUUGGGAAAGUAUAAUCAAUACAAAACACAUGUUCCCGGCCUUCUAAGGAGUUUAAAAUCUAAUCAAGGAGCUUAAUCAAAGAAACUUUUAGGAAUUACUGGAGUUUUUUAAAUGUAUUUGUUUAUAUUUAUUAUACUCAUACCAUAUUAAUUUGAUUUUAUAUUAUUCAGGAAUGAAAAAAAGGAAAUUCUUUUCAAGCAGAAGGCGAAAGAGAAAAUAAAUGAAAAGAGAAAGCAAGAAAUAGAGAAGGCUGCAAAAGAAGAUAAAGACAGACAGGCAUUAGAUGAAUAUGAAAGAUGGCUGGAAAGGAAAGAAAGUACUGAAAAAAAACAAAGGAAGUUUCAAGUUCUUCCUGAAAAUAAGACACCUCCUCCUUGGAACCCUCCAAGCAAAAUUGUAUCAUCAAGAAAUUCUUGAGAUAAAAAUCUGAUGUUGGUGCUGCUGUUUAACAAUAACUAUUUUAAAAUGUAUCUGUGAGCAGGUCUUGCAUCUUUCAUUUUAGAAUGGACAUUUUAUUUAAACUGCAGGCAGACGUUUACAUUCCUAAGCAUCUUUAUCAAACUGAAAUCCUCACAGCACUGAUGCUCUGUAAAGGGUCAACCUAAGUGAUUGGCGGCUACACAUGGAGAAUUUCACAUGUAAACAGCAUGGACUCCCUUGUCUCUUUUCCACUGUUUUUGGAAGGGGGCUGCUGCCAUGUGCUCCCAUUCUUAAACAGGGGUACCCAGGGAUUCAGCUGAGUGCAAGAUAGAAGACAUGAUCAUGAGGGGACAAUUGUUCCCUGCUUCAGAAUUCCCUCUUCCUCCUUUCCAAAUGAUGGUUCAAAGUGGUCCUCAAGCUCCUGUACUAUUGUAAAAGACUGUGCAGUUCAGUCGGUGUGCUCUGGGUAAUAAUUAACAUCAAAAAUUAAAAGCAAAGACACAUUUUUCUAAUCCACACACAAGUCCUUUAAGCCCAACUUGUUUUGGCUUAAGGGCUUUGUUCUUAGCUAAUGUUUAUAUCUGUGACCCAUUUAGUGAAAUUUUAGUAGUGUAGAAGUAAUGCACUCAACCGAGAGUGAAAUGUUUUUGAGGCAUUAUAAUCUUAAAGGUGCUAUUAAUAUUGUGGAUGAAUAGUACAGUCUGAUCUGUUUUUAAACUACAGUUCCAUGUAUUAGACAUUGCUACAUUUUUUCCUUCUAAAUAAGCUUAAUUUGCCCAAAUCUUCGUGAAUCUGUUUACUAUGCAAAGUGAAGUAACAAUGAUGGGCACGAUUACUCUUAAAUCCCUAAAAUAGUCUCACGAAAGCAUUUUAUUUUACUGUGUCUCUCUUCCUUGAGGGAAUCAGAUAUAAGAAGUCACUGAAUGUAUGUAAACCUUUUGCUGUUGGCUUAAGAAGCAAUCAUAAACCUUAUAAAAUGGCCCCAAGUCCUUUCAAAAAUACACUAUAUUCAAUUCCCUAUAAAAUGGAGCCUGUGUUCUUUCAAAACCCCAUAUUAAGGUAAACUAACAUUGUAAUACUCACCACAUCUGACACCACAAGAGUAUGAACAAGUCAUUUCUUCCAAUUUUACCCUGCAA
Molecule: long non-coding RNA, 1857 nt
Filed under: Ornithorhynchus anatinus (platypus)
Lineage: Eukaryota; Metazoa; Chordata; Mammalia; Monotremata; Ornithorhynchidae
Description: lncRNA (ENSOANG00000048726.1)
Source: RNAcentral